GGUCAUGCUUUUCCACAGCUUUCUUGAACUUCUUUUGCAUCUUAAAUCUUUCCAAAUUCAAGAUUAAUAGCCCUAGAAGAAGCUCAAGAAAGCUGUGGGAGAAUAUGGCAA
Molecule: microRNA precursor, 111 nt
Filed under: Cicer arietinum (chickpea)
Lineage: Eukaryota; Viridiplantae; Streptophyta; Magnoliopsida; Fabales; Fabaceae
Description: MIR396 microRNA precursor family
Rfam family: MIR396 microRNA precursor family
Source: Rfam by way of RNAcentral